This 468-nucleotide ribosomal RNA is filed under the name uncultured bacterium. RNAcentral's name for it is "partial 16S ribosomal RNA". It matches the Rfam family "Bacterial small subunit ribosomal RNA", at positions 28 to 507 of the family's 1533-position model. The record is from RNAcentral.
GACGAACGCUGGCGGCGUGCUUAACACAUGCAAGUCGAACGGAAAGGCCCUGCUUUUGUGGGGGGCUCGAGUGGCGAACGGGUGAGUAACACGUGAGUAACCUGCCCUUGACUGUGGGAUAACUUCAGGAAACUGGGGAUAAUACCGGAUAGGAGCUCCUGCAGCAUGGUGGGGGUUGGAAAGUUUCGGCGGUUGGGGGUGGACUCGCGGCUUAUCAGCUUGUUGGUGGGGUAGUGGCUUACCAAGGCAUUGACGGGUAGCCGGCCUGAGAGGGUGACCGGCCACAUUGGGACUGAGAUACGGCCCAGACUCCUACGGGAGGCAGCAGUGGGGAAUAUUGCACAAUGGGCGGAAGCCUGAUGCAGCAACGCCGCGUGCGGGAUGACGGCCUUCGGGUUGUAAACCGCUUUCGCCUGAUACGAAGCGUGAGUGACGGUAAUGGGUAAAGAAGCACCGGCUAACUACGUG